AGUACAGUGGCGGACGGGUGAGUACGCGUGAUCAUCUACCCUCGGGAGGGGGAGGACAUGCGAAAGGAUGGGUAUACCCCAUAAGACCACGGUAUCGCAUGGUACAGUGGUAAAAAUGUUGGGAUCUUCGGACCUUCUGCCUGAGGAUGAGAUCGCGUCCUAUUAGCUGGUUGGUGGGGUAAUGGCCUACCAAUGCGGUGAUGGGUAGCCGGCCUGAGAGGGUGGACGGCCACACUGGAACUGAGAGACGGUCCANACUCCUACUGGAGGCAGCAGUGCUGAAUUAUUCGCCAAUGCGCGAAAGCGUGACGGUGCGACGCCGCGUGAAGGAUGAAUGCCCUCGGGUCGUAAACUUCUGUCAGGUCCUAGGAAACUGUAGUCGUGAAUAGCGGCUGCACUGACCAGGUCCAAAGGAAGCACAGGCUAAUCUCGUGCCAGCAGCCGCGGUAAUACGAGAUGUGCGAGCGUUGUUCGGAAUCACUGGGCAUAAAGGGUGCGCAGGCGGUUCGGUCAGU
This 515-nucleotide ribosomal RNA is filed under the name uncultured organism. RNAcentral describes it as "bacterial SSU rRNA". It matches the Rfam family "Bacterial small subunit ribosomal RNA", at positions 89 to 588 of the family's 1533-position model. The record is from RNAcentral.